CUUCGGAUCUCCAAUUCCAGCCUUGCCAUUCGCUUUCUGGCGCAUCCUCGUGCUUUGUUACCUAUCCAAAUUAAGGUUACAAUUUUAGAAAUUUUAAACGAAAUCAAGUGACAUAGAUCGAUACAUAGCAUUUAGUUUAAAAGUUUGGUGAACCUCUUUGCUAUCAGAAUCAUCAGGAGCAAGGAAACGGUUGCCUUGAGAGUUGAUGGUAGGAUUAGCACUUCCUCCAAUCGCAUACAUUUCCCAAUGUGUAUAGUCAUUGUUCACCACAUGGAAAUAUCCAUGUCUACACCUAUAUACUCACAUAACUUCACAUUAGUUUGUUACAAUUAAUUGUCAUGUCUCUACUUAUAUGGAGUUCUAUCUAUCUGAUAUUGAUCUAACAUAUAAGAUUAAAAUAUUAGCUCAACUAACUCAACUGUUUUUUUUCAGUUGAUUUAGACAGCAUACUUAUUUCGGUUGAUCCAUCUUAGAUCUAGAUAAAGGAAAAACGUAUUAAAGUGUUUAGUGUUGUAUUUAUUUUUGGCUUUGAUAUUUCUUUUAAGAGUAUGUUCAACCGACAAUAUAUACUUGACUUUUAUAGUUGGUGACUUAUAUAUCCACAAAUAUAAUAAGUAUACUAAAUAUGAAAAUUCUGUUUUCGAUAAAAAAAUACCUUG
RNAcentral lists this long non-coding RNA (659 nucleotides) under Capsella grandiflora. RNAcentral's name for it is "long non-coding RNA (CGRA_LNC000818)". The record is from RNAcentral. Lineage: Eukaryota; Viridiplantae; Streptophyta; Magnoliopsida; Brassicales; Brassicaceae.